RNAcentral lists this ribosomal RNA (368 nucleotides) under uncultured organism. Its description in RNAcentral is "bacterial SSU rRNA". It matches the Rfam family "Bacterial small subunit ribosomal RNA", at positions 526 to 896 of the family's 1533-position model. The record is from RNAcentral.
CGGAGGGUGCAAGCGUUAUCCGGAUUCACUGGGUUUAAAGGGUGCGUAGGUGGGCUAGUAAGUCCGUGGUGAAAUCUCCAAGCUUAACUUGGAAACUGCCGUGGAUACUAUUAGUCUUGAAUAUUGUGGAGGUAAGCGGAAUAUGUCGUGUAGCGGUGAAAUGCUUAGAUAUGACAUAGAACACCGAUAGCGAAGGCAGCUUGCUACACAAUCAUUGACACUGAGGCACGAAAGCGUGGGGAUCAAACAGGAUUAGAUACCCUGGUAGUCCACGCCCUAAACGAUGGAUACUCGACAUACGCGAUACACAGUGCGUGUCUGAGCGAAAGCAUUAAGUAUCCCACCUGGGAAGUACGACCGCAAGGUUG